AGUCCCCUACGGGGGGCAGCAGUAGGGAAUAUUGCUCAAUGGGGGAAACCCUGAAGCAGCAACGCCGCGUGGAGGAUGAAGGUUUUCGGAUUGUAAAGUUCUGUCCUUAUCGAAGAGAGGGUAUAGAGUGAAAAAUGAUAUACUAGGACGGUAGAUGAGGAGGAAGCCCCGGCUAACUACGUGCCAGCAGCCGCGGUAAUACGUAGGGGGCGAGCGUUGUCCGGAAUCACUGGGCGUAAAGGGCGUGUAGGCGGUAAUAUAAGUCAGAUGUGAAAGGUGGGGGCUCAACCCCUAGAGUGCAACUG
This 305-nucleotide ribosomal RNA is filed under the name uncultured bacterium. Its description in RNAcentral is "bacterial SSU rRNA". It matches the Rfam family "Bacterial small subunit ribosomal RNA", at positions 333 to 629 of the family's 1533-position model. The record is from RNAcentral.